This 417-nucleotide ribosomal RNA is filed under the name uncultured bacterium. RNAcentral describes it as "bacterial SSU rRNA". It matches the Rfam family "Bacterial small subunit ribosomal RNA", at positions 917 to 1333 of the family's 1533-position model. The record is from RNAcentral.
GGACCCGCACAAGCGGUGGAACAUGUGGUUUAAUUCGAUGCAACGCGAAGAACCUUACCUACUCUUGACAUCCAGAGAAGCUCACGUAAUGGUGAGUGUGCCUUCGGGAACUCUGAGACAGGUGCUGCAUGGCUGUCGUCAGCUCGUGUUGUGAAAUGUUGGGUUAAGUCCCGUAACGAGCGCAACCCCUAUCCUUAGUUGCCAGCGCGUAAUGGCGGGGACUCUAAGGAGACUGCCGGUGAUAAACCGGAGGAAGGUGGGGAUGACGUCAAGUCCUCAUGGCCCUUACGAGUAGGGCUACACACGUGUUACAAUGGAGCGUACAGAGGGUUGCCAAGCCGCAAGGUGGAGCUAAUCCCUUAAAGCGCCUCGUAGUCCGGAUUGGAGUCUGCAACUCGACUCCAUGAAGUCGGAAUC